This 475-nucleotide ribosomal RNA is filed under the name uncultured bacterium. RNAcentral describes it as "bacterial SSU rRNA". It matches the Rfam family "Bacterial small subunit ribosomal RNA", at positions 30 to 506 of the family's 1533-position model. The record is from RNAcentral.
UUGAACGCUGGCGGCAUGCCUUACACAUGCAAGUCGAACGGUAACAGGUUAAGCUGACGAGUGGCGAACGGGUGAGUAACACAUCGGAACGUGCCCAAUCGUGGGGGAUAACGUAGCGAAAGCUACGCUAAUACCGCAUACGAUCUACGGAUGAAAGCGGGGGAUCGCAAGACCUCGCGCGAAUGGAGCGGCCGAUGGCAGAUUAGGUAGUUGGUGGGAUAAAAGCUUACCAAGCCGACGAUCUGUAGCUGGUCUGAGAGGACGACCAGCCACACUGGGACUGAGACACGGCCCAGACUCCUACGGGAGGCAGCAGUGGGGAAUUUUGGACAAUGGGCGAAAGCCUGAUCCAGCCAUGCCGCGUGCAGGAUGAAGGCCUUCGGGUUGUAAACUGCUUUUGUACGGAACGAAAAGACUCCUUCUAAUACAGGGGGUCCAUGACGGUACCGUAAGAAUAAGCACCGGCUAACUACGU